UUAGAAGAAGGUAUCUGCAGCUCUUCUAAUUGUGACAUCUCUGCCAUGAGUCAUUCAUCUGGAAACCCUCCAGUGAGUCAGCACACCUACAAUAAUCGUAUCACAGCAUUUCUCAUCGAAACAUCAUUGAAGAAGCUAUUUCUGCUUGACUGGCUCCUGGCAGAACCUGUCUAACCACAGUUGAUUUUCCCAGUAACUCAAAACGUAAGCUCAAUCAACCCUGGCUGAUUGAAUAUUUGGAUUUGGAAUCUCUUGGGAUAUCCAGGGCUGCUGGCUAAACUGGGAAGUCAAAAUAUAUUUCAAAAGAAGGCAUUAACACGCCACCAAGAUUACAGUCACAGAGUUCCCAAUUUGGACUGGAAAUGC
Long non-coding RNA from Ahaetulla prasina, 366 nucleotides. RefSeq lists it as uncharacterized. NCBI's taxonomy places the organism in Eukaryota, Metazoa, Chordata, Lepidosauria, Squamata, Colubridae. The transcript has 3 exons. The record is from RefSeq and is a predicted model, not a curated record.